GGAGGGAUAGCUCAGUUGGUAGAGCAUGAGACUAUUAAUCUCAACAUCGUGGGUUCGAGGCCCACACUGGCCA
This is a non-coding RNA of Podarcis raffonei (Aeolian wall lizard), 73 nucleotides long. NCBI's taxonomy places the organism in Eukaryota, Metazoa, Chordata, Lepidosauria, Squamata, Lacertidae. The record is from the annotation of a RefSeq genome assembly.